AUAUAUUACAAAAUUUCAGCGCAUAUUUGAAAUUCAAAUGCACACCAGGUUCGAGAUGUUAUUUUUCAACUGUUCUCAACUGUCCCAAAUAAAGCCUCUCCCCUGGGGCCACAUGUGAGGUCGCAGGUCUCUCUGCCGACGCCGGGAAGGCUGUCCUUCCAGGAAGGGCUGCACAGCCCUGGGAACCGCCAGCCAGCUCACAAGAAUGAAGAGAAUGUCGGGAGAGGAAGUGGUGGCUGUGAGUCAGCAUGAGUCAUCUCGUUCCAAUGAGAAUGAAGACUGAGGUGUGUGCCUCUUUUCUUUCUUUCUUUCUUCCUUUUUUUUUUUCCGUCUCAAUGGUACAGACAUCAUUGGGAAUGGACGGAAAUAAGUGACUGUAGGGUCGUUGCUUUUUAAGUUCCAAACACAUUCCAGGCAGGCUGUGCCUGAGCCACUGUCUGUCCCCAGAGUGUCGCAGCGCUGUCCCCGGGAAGGUGGAGCUGUCAGCGUCUCCCCGAAUAACUGGGAGAUGAAACAGGAAGCUCUAUGACACACUUGAUCGAAAAUGACACAGACAAAAAAAAUCAGGACUCAGCCCCCUUCCAGCACCUCUACCUCCUGCCUGCUGCCCACAGCCGGGAUGCAGGUGACAGGCCUGCCCUGGGACUGCCUCUGACGGCCGUGGACUUCAAGGGCCUCUGCAUUUGCUGAGGAUGUGUCUGCGAUACUAUGGUCAUGAUCUAGCCUGGGUGGCUUCCUAUUUAUCUUGCUGUCUCUGUGUGUAUUAAUCUCUUUUUCUUCAUUAAAAGCUAAGCAAAAAAUAGAUAAA
Long non-coding RNA from Phyllostomus discolor (pale spear-nosed bat), 808 nucleotides. RefSeq lists it as uncharacterized. The transcript is spliced from 2 exons. NCBI's taxonomy places the organism in Eukaryota, Metazoa, Chordata, Mammalia, Chiroptera, Phyllostomidae. The record is from RefSeq and is a predicted model, not a curated record.